CGGUUGAUCCUGCCGGACCCCACUGCUAUCGGGAUAGGACUAAGACAUGCUAGUUGAGCGCUUCCAGCCAACACGGAGGCGCAGCGCACAGCUCAGUAACACGUGGCUAAUCUGCCCUUGGGAUAGGAACAACCCCGGGAAACUGGGGCUAAUUCCCAAUAGGCGAAGAACUCUGGAAUGAGUCUUUACCAGAAAAGACGUUUACGUUAUGCUCGUAGGCGUCGCCCAAGGAUGAGGCCGCGACCGAUCAGGUUGUUGGUGAGGUAAUGGCUCACCAAGCCUUUUACCGGUGCGGGCCGUGAGAGCGGGAGCCCGGAGAUGGGCACUGAGACAAGGGCCCAGGCCCUACGGGGCGCAGCAGUCGCGAAAACUUUGCAAUACACGAAAGUGUGACAGGGCUAUCCCGAGUGCCAUCCGCUGAGGAAGGCUUUUACCCAGUCUAGAACGCUGGGGGAAUAAGGAGAGGGCAAGUCUGGUGUCAGCCGCCGCGGUAAUACCAGCUCUCCGAGUGGUGUGGAUGUUUAUUGGGCCUAAAGCAUCCGUAGCUGGCUGAGUUAGUCCCUUGUUAAAUCCACCGAAUUAAUCGUUGGAUUGCGGGGGAUACUGCUCGGCUAGGGGACGAGAGAGGCAGACGGUAUUUCUGGGGUAGGGGUGAAAUCCUAUAAUCCCAGGAGGACCACCAGUGGCGAAGGCUGUCUGCUAGAACGCGCCCGACGGUGAGGGAUGAAAGCCAGGGGAGCAAAGGGGAUUAGAUACCCCCGUAGUCCUGGCUGUAAACGAUGCGGGCUAGGUGUUGGGUUGGCUUCGUGCCAACCCGGUGCCGCAGCGAAGGCGAUAAGCCCGCCGCCUGGGAAGUACGGCUGCAAGGCUGAAACUUAAAGGA
This 883-nucleotide ribosomal RNA is filed under the name uncultured crenarchaeote. RNAcentral describes it as "bacterial SSU rRNA". It matches the Rfam family "Archaeal small subunit ribosomal RNA", at positions 5 to 863 of the family's 1478-position model. Lineage: Archaea; Thermoproteati; Thermoproteota. The record is from RNAcentral.